CCCUGUAGCUCAGUUGGUAGAGCAUGGUGUUUGCAACACCAGGGUUGUGGGUUCGAUUCCCACAGGGG
Non-coding RNA from Salmo salar (Atlantic salmon), 68 nucleotides. Lineage: Eukaryota; Metazoa; Chordata; Actinopteri; Salmoniformes; Salmonidae. The record is from Rfam.